GACGUAGGGCGCGAGCGUUGUCCGGAUUUAUUGGGCGUAAAGAGCUCGUAGGCGGCUCGUUGCGUCAACCGUGAAAACCCGGGGCUUAACUUCGGGCUUGCGGUUGAUACGGGCGGGCUGGAGUUCGGUAGGGGAGACUGGAAUUCCUGGUGUAGCGGUGAAAUGCGCAGAUAUCAGGAGGAACACCGGUGGCGAAGGCGGCAUCCUGGACCGACACUGACGCUGAGGAGCGAAAGCCAGGGGAGCAAACGGG
Molecule: ribosomal RNA, 253 nt
Filed under: uncultured bacterium
Lineage: Bacteria
Description: partial 16S ribosomal RNA
Rfam family: Bacterial small subunit ribosomal RNA
Source: RNAcentral